UCGCUUAGUUAUAUGAUAUAUGAUAUUGAACAAUUAUACCCUUUAAAAACCAAAAUAUUUUCCAUGUAAGAGUUAUCUCCCCGAACACUGUUUUUCUUGUUAUUACUUAUAUGUCACAACCGUAUAAGAAACCGAUAAAUUCAUUAUCUCGUUAUAUCCUCUUCAUGAAUUGAUUAUGAUCAUUAGUCCAUAAAGAUGAAAAUUAGGUCAAGGUCAAAGGUCAAGGUCAUAUUC
This 234-nucleotide long non-coding RNA is filed under the name Mytilus galloprovincialis (Mediterranean mussel). The record is from RNAcentral. Lineage: Eukaryota; Metazoa; Mollusca; Bivalvia; Mytilida; Mytilidae.